AUUCGUAGAGAUCGGGAGGAAUACCAGUGGCGAAGGCGCCCUUCUGGACGGUUACUGACGCUGAGACGCGAAAGCGUGGGGAGCAAACAGGAUUAGAUACCCUGGUAGUCCACGCUGUAAACGAUGAUCACUAGGUGUAGCGGGUACUCA
This 150-nucleotide ribosomal RNA is filed under the name uncultured bacterium. RNAcentral's name for it is "partial 16S ribosomal RNA". It matches the Rfam family "Bacterial small subunit ribosomal RNA", at positions 686 to 835 of the family's 1533-position model. The record is from RNAcentral.